AUUCUGCCCAUGCGGGAAAGGACGAGAAGCUUCGACCAAGGUUCGACUCGAGCGUCAGCGAGAGAGCGUUGCCGCAGGCAACGACCCGUAGGGCGAAGCGCGCAGCGCUGAGUAAUCCUUCCCCCACCACCA
This 132-nucleotide small RNA is filed under the name Escherichia coli. RNAcentral describes it as "RtT sRNA". It matches the Rfam family "RtT RNA". Rfam says of the family: This family represents a bacterial cis-regulatory element known as RtT RNA. The exact function of RtT is unknown although it is thought that it may be involved in changing the cellular response in relation to amino acid starvation. Lineage: Bacteria; Pseudomonadati; Pseudomonadota; Gammaproteobacteria; Enterobacterales; Enterobacteriaceae. The record is from RNAcentral.